GGGCCCGUAGCUUAGCAAGGUAGAGCGGCGGACUAACCACCCGCAGGUCAGGGGUUCAAUUCCCCUCGGGCCCGCCA
This 77-nucleotide transfer RNA is filed under the name Candidatus Bathyarchaeota archaeon. Its description in RNAcentral is "tRNA-Val". It matches the Rfam family "tRNA". From Rfam's summary of the family: Transfer RNA (tRNA) molecules are approximately 80 nucleotides in length. Their secondary structure includes four short double-helical elements and three loops (D, anti-codon, and T loops). Lineage: Archaea; Thermoproteati; Candidatus Bathyarchaeota. The record is from RNAcentral.